UACAGAGGUCCCAAGCGUUGUUCGGAUUCACUGGGCGUAAAGGGUGCGUAGGUGGUGGGGUAAGUCGGAUGUGAAAGCUCGGAGCUCAACUCCGAAAUGGCAUUGGAAACUACCCUGCUAGAGGAUUGGAGGGGGGACUGGAAUACUUGGUGUAGCAGUGAAAUGCGUAGAUAUCAAGUGGAACACCAGUGGCGAAGGCGGCUUUCUGGACGAUAACUGACGCUGAGACGCGAAAGCGUGGGGAGCAAACAGG
RNAcentral lists this ribosomal RNA (253 nucleotides) under uncultured bacterium. Its description in RNAcentral is "partial 16S ribosomal RNA". It matches the Rfam family "Bacterial small subunit ribosomal RNA", at positions 524 to 776 of the family's 1533-position model. The record is from RNAcentral.